This 308-nucleotide ribosomal RNA is filed under the name uncultured bacterium. RNAcentral's name for it is "partial 16S ribosomal RNA". It matches the Rfam family "Bacterial small subunit ribosomal RNA", at positions 505 to 807 of the family's 1533-position model. The record is from RNAcentral.
GAGACAGCAGUCGCCACGGUAAUACGGAGGGUGCAAGCGUUAAUCGGAAUUACUGGGCGUAAAGCGCACGCAGGCGGUCUGACAAGUCAGAUGUGAAAUCCCCGGGCUUAACCUGGGAACUGCAUUUGAAACUGUCAGGCUGGAGUCUUGUAGAGGGGGGUGGAAUUCCAGGUGUAGCGGUGAAAUGCGUAGAGAUCUGGAGGAAUACCGGUGGCGAAGGCGGCCCCCUGGACAAAGACUGACGCUCAGGUGCGAAAGCGUGGGGAGCAAACAGGAUUAGAUACCCCAGUAGUCCCUGUCUCUUAUAC